CGGUGAAGGAUUAGCGGCGAACGGGUGAGGAACACGUGAAGAAUCUGCCUUCAACUCUGGGAUAACUCCGGGAAACCGGGGCUAAUACCGGAUAUGAGCCUUGAUCGCAUGAUCGGGGCUGGAAAGUUUUUCGGUUGAAGAUGACUUCGCGGCCUAUCAGCUUGUUGGUGAGGUAAUGGCUCACCAAGGCGACGACGGGUAGCCGGCCUGAGAGGGCGACCGGCCACACUGGGACUGAGACACGGCCCAGACUCCUACGGGAGGCAGCAGUGGGGAAUAUUGGGCAAUGGAGGAAACUCUGACCCAGCGACGCCGCGUGCGGGAUGAAGGCCUUCGGGUUGUAAACCGCUUUCAGCAGGGAAUAAGCGCAAGUGAAGGUACCUGCAGAAGAAGCACCGGCUAACUAUGUGCCAGCAGCCGCGGUAAUACAUAGGGUGCAAGCGUUGUCCGGAAUUAUUGGGCGUAAAGAGCUCGUAGGUGGUUUGUUACGUCGGUUGUGAAAUUCAGGGGCUCAACCCCUGACUUGCAGCCGAUACGGGCAAGCUAGAGUUUGGUAGGGGAGACUGGAAUUCCUGGUGUAGCAGUGGAAUGCGCAGAUAUCAGGAGGAACACCGAUGGCGAAGGCAGGUCUCUGGGCCAAUACUGACACUGAGGAGCGAAAGCGUGGGGAGCGAACAGGAUUAGAUACCCUGGUAGUCCACGCCGUAAACGGUGGGCGCUAGUUGUGCGAACCUUCCACGGUUUGUGCGACGCAGCUAACGCAUUAAGCGCCCCGCCUGGGGAGUACGAUCGCAAGAUUAAAAAUCAAAUGAAUU
RNAcentral lists this ribosomal RNA (815 nucleotides) under uncultured Actinomycetales bacterium. RNAcentral's name for it is "bacterial SSU rRNA". It matches the Rfam family "Bacterial small subunit ribosomal RNA", at positions 82 to 911 of the family's 1533-position model. Lineage: Bacteria; Bacillati; Actinomycetota; Actinomycetes; Actinomycetales. The record is from RNAcentral.